Molecule: ribosomal RNA, 492 nt
Filed under: uncultured bacterium
Lineage: Bacteria
Description: partial 16S ribosomal RNA
Rfam family: Bacterial small subunit ribosomal RNA
Source: RNAcentral
AUUGAACGCUGGCGGCAUGCUUUACACAUGCCAGUCGAACGGUAACAGGCCUUCUGGUGCUGACGAGUGGCGCACGGGUGCGUAAUGCAUCGGAACGUACCCAGAGGUGGGGGAUAACGCAGCGAAAGCUGUGCUAAUACCGCAUGUGAUCUGAGGAUGAAAGCGGGGGACCGAGCAGCAAUGUUUGGCCUCGCGCCUUUGGAGCGGCCGAUGUCGGAUUAGCUAGUUGGUGGGGUAAAGGCCUACCAAGGCGACGAUCCGUAGCUGGUCUGAGAGGACGACAAGCAACACUGGGACUGAGACACGGCCCAGACUCCUACGGGAGGCAGCAGUGGGGAAUUUUGGACAAUGGGCGCAAGCCUGAUCCAGCAAUGCCGCGUGCGGGAAGAAGGCCUUCGGGUUGUAAACCGCUUUUGGCAGGAACGAAACGGUGUCCGCUAAUACCGGGCGCUAAUGACGGUACCUGCAGAAUAAGCACCGGCUAACUACGUG